UCCGGAGGGGGCAAGCGUUGUUCGGAAUCACUGGGCGUAAAGCGCGUGUAGGCGGCUUGGUAAGUCGGGUGUGAAAGCCCGGAGCUCAACUCCGGAACUGCAUUCGAAACUACCUCGCUCGAGUCCCGGAGAGGGUGGUGGAAUUCCCGGUGUAGAGGUGAAAUUCGUAGAUAUCGGGAGGAACACCAGUGGCGAAGGCGGCCACCUGGACGGUGACUGACGCUGAGACGCGAAAGCGUGGGGAGAAAACAGG
This 253-nucleotide ribosomal RNA is filed under the name uncultured bacterium. RNAcentral describes it as "partial 16S ribosomal RNA". It matches the Rfam family "Bacterial small subunit ribosomal RNA", at positions 524 to 776 of the family's 1533-position model. The record is from RNAcentral.